GCCUGGCUGGCUCAGUUGGUAGAGCAUACAACUCUUGGCCUCAGGGUUGUGAGUUCAAGCCCCAUGUUGGGCA
RNAcentral lists this transfer RNA (73 nucleotides) under Ailuropoda melanoleuca (giant panda). It matches the Rfam family "tRNA". Rfam says of the family: Transfer RNA (tRNA) molecules are approximately 80 nucleotides in length. Their secondary structure includes four short double-helical elements and three loops (D, anti-codon, and T loops). Lineage: Eukaryota; Metazoa; Chordata; Mammalia; Carnivora; Ursidae. The record is from Rfam by way of RNAcentral. RNAcentral also lists the same sequence under 1 other name.